GAACGCUAGCGGCAGGCCUAACACAUGCAAGUCGAGCGGUAACAGGAAUUAGCUUGCUAAUUCGCUGACGAGCGGCGGACGGGUGAGUAAUGCCUGGGAAUAUGCCUUAGUGUGGGGGAUAACUAUUGGAAACGAUAGCUAAUACCGCAUAACGUCUUCGGACCAAAGAGGGGGACCUUCGGGCCUCUCGCGCUAAGAUUAGCCCAGGUGGGAUUAGCUAGUUGGUGAGGUAAAGGCUCACCAAGGCAACGAUCCCUAGCUGGUCUGAGAGGAUGAUCAGCCACACUGGAACUGAGACACGGUCCAGACUCCUACGGGAGGCAGCAGUGGGGAAUAUUGCACAAUGGGGGAAACCCUGAUGCAGCCAUGCCGCGUGUAUGAAGAAGGCCUUCGGGUUGUAAAGUACUUUCAGUCGUGAGGAAGGCAUUGUAGUUAAUAGCUGCAGUGCUUGACGUUAGCGACAGAAGAAGCACCGGCUAACUCCGUG
Molecule: ribosomal RNA, 487 nt
Filed under: uncultured bacterium
Lineage: Bacteria
Description: bacterial SSU rRNA
Rfam family: Bacterial small subunit ribosomal RNA
Source: RNAcentral